GACGAACACUGGCGGCGUGCUUAACACAUGCAAGUCGAACGGAAAGGCCCUGCUUUUGUGGGGUGCUCGAGUGGCGAACGGGUGAGUAACACGUGAGUAACCUGCCCUUGACUUUGGGAUAACUUCAGGAAACUGGGGCUAAUACCGGAUAGGAGCUCCUGCUGCAUGGUGGGGGUUGGAAAGUUUCGGCGGUUGGGGAUGGACUCGCGGCUUAUCAGCUUGUUGGUGGGGUAGUGGCUUACCAAGGCUUUGACGGGUAGCCGGCCUGAGAGGGUGACCGGCCACAUUGGGACUGAGAUACGGCCCAGACUCCUACGGGGGGCAGCAGUGGGGAAUAUUGCACAAUGGGCGGAAGCCUGAUGCAGCAACGCCGCGUGCGGGAUGACGGCCUUCGGGUUGUAAACCGCUUUCGCCUGUGACGAAGCGUGAGUGACGGUAAUGGGUAAAGAAGCACCGGCUAACUACGUG
Molecule: ribosomal RNA, 468 nt
Filed under: uncultured bacterium
Lineage: Bacteria
Description: partial 16S ribosomal RNA
Rfam family: Bacterial small subunit ribosomal RNA
Source: RNAcentral